UACACUCCUGCGGGAGGCAGCAGUGGGGAAUUUUGGACAAUGGGCGAAAGCCUGAUCCAGCAAUGCCGCGUGAGUGAAGAAGGCCUUCGGGUUGUAAAGCUCUUUUGUCAGGGAAGAAACGGUGAAAGCUAAUAUCUUUUGCUAAUGACGGUACCUGAAGAAUAAGCACCGGCUAACUACGUGCCAGCAGCCGCGGUAAUACGUAGGGUGCAAGCGUUAAUCGGAAUUACUGGGCGUAAAGCGUGCGCAGGCGGUUUUGUAAGUCUGAUGUGAAAUCCCCGGGCUCAACCUGGGAAUUGCAUUGGAGACUGCAAGGCUAGAAUCUGGCAGAGGGGGGUAGAAUUCCACGUGUAGCAGUGAAAUGCGUAGAUAUGUGGAGGAACACCGAUGACGAAGGCAGCCCCCUGGGUCAAGAUUGACGCUCAUGCACGAAAGCGUGGGGAGCAAACAGGAUUAGAAACCCCUGUAGUCCC
Molecule: ribosomal RNA, 473 nt
Filed under: uncultured organism
Description: partial 16S ribosomal RNA
Rfam family: Bacterial small subunit ribosomal RNA
Source: RNAcentral